CAGCCUCCAUGGAGGGCAGAGGGGCCGUGGAUUGAGUUGCUACAGACGGCCAGGGAUUUACUCAGUCUUCCCUAAUGGAAGCGCCAUGGUUCAGGGAGCAUCAAGGGUUGGGGAGCCCACCCACAAGCUGGGAGCGUGUUGCCCCCAGACUCCACGGAGACAGAAGCUGCUGCACUGGGGACCCUCCUGGAUCUCGCCUUCAUCUCUUCCUGUGGCUGUUCAUCCCUUGAGGAUAAACACUCUGAAAGUGGAAGUGUCCGUCCCUCAGGCACGUCCAACGCUCUGUGACUCAGCUGGUGAGAUCUUGCCGGACCGGGGAUCGAACUCGUGUCUCCUGCUUUGGCAGAUGACCACAUUCGUCUCAUUUGCUGCUAGAAGAGACUGUAUUUGCAGUUGUUAAUAACUGAACUGUAGCUUUCCACCCUGAAAGCAGCCUGAGAGCCAACACGUAAGGAACGUCACUUUCGAGGCCGACCUCACCCAUCGCUGAAGUCUUUGGUGGAUGCCGUGGUUCCACGCUGGUUCUGCUAAACAGGUCAGCGUAAAUUGUUUUUAAAAUGAUGGGGAUGUACGUUUUAAAGCAGAGACAGUUUGCCAGGACUGUUGGUACCUCAAAGGAUCUCGCGUUUCAUCUUCCUGCGGUGGGAAUAAGCACUCCCUGAUUAAUUUGCUUUAAAAAAAAAAUCUGGGACUUGAUCGCCAACGCUUUCUCAUGAUGAGACUCACCUACAGUGCCUACUGGGAAAAGAAGUGUUUUUUUUUUAUUUUAUUUUCCCGGAAGCUCUGCUAGAAAGAUGAAGGCAGUUCUGGGAAUUGCACCACGAUGUUUUUUCUCUGAUCCUCCGACCGCCUGACAGAAGCCACCUCCCACUGGUCGCAGGUCUGGGUGGCCCCGGAAAUGCCUUAUUGCUUUGAGAGUUGGGUUUACAACUCCUGGAUGGGGGACUUCCCUGGCGGACCAGUGGUCAGGACUUUGCUUUCCAAUGCAAGGGGUUAUGGGUUCCAUCCCUGGCCACAGAGCUAAGACCCCACAUGCCUCCCGGCCAGAAACAUGAAAACAUGAAGAAGAAGUGUUACUGUAACAAAUCCAAUAAAGACUUCAUUCUUUUUUGC
Bubalus bubalis (water buffalo) is the source of this 1113-nucleotide long non-coding RNA. RefSeq lists it as uncharacterized. The record is from RefSeq and is a predicted model, not a curated record. The transcript has 4 exons. NCBI's taxonomy places the organism in Eukaryota, Metazoa, Chordata, Mammalia, Artiodactyla, Bovidae.